CACAAUAAUAGGCAGAAGUAGAAGAUGUGGAAGCUUAAGGUUGCCGAAGGUGGCGGGCCGUACAUGUACAGUACCAACAACUACGUCGGCAGACAAAUAUGGGAGUAUGACCCUAACGCCGGCACGCCGGAAGAACGAGAAGCGCUUGAAAAUGCCCGCCGAGAAUUUAGAGAAAACCGGCCGGAGAAAGGUUCCCAUGCCUGCGGUGAUUUGAUAAUGAGAAUGCAGAUGAUCAAAGAAAGUGGGAUUGACGUGUUGAACACUCCCCCAAUAAGGCUAGGAGACGAAGAAGUGAACUACUCGGCGGUUACAACCGCUGUUAGAAAAGCCGUACGAUUGAACCGUGCACUUCAAGCUAGAGACGGACACUGGCCAGCUCUGAAUGCUGGCCCUAUGUUUUUCACUCCUCCCUUGCUUAUUGCGUUGUACAUUUGUGGAGCAAUCAAUACAGUUUUAACCUCAGAGCACACGAAAGAAAUUGUCCGAUACAUUUACAAUCAUCAAAAUGAAGAUGGUGGAUGGGGAUUGUACAUAGAUGGACACAGUACCAUGAUUGGGUCAGCACUUAACUAUGUGGCCUUGCGUUUGCUUGGAGAAGUACCUCUUGAUGAUGGUGCCAUUACUAGGGGUCGCAAGUGGAUUCUUGACCAUGGCGGUGCCACUAAAAUCCCUUCUUGGGGAAAGGUUUUUCUCUCGGUGCUUGGAGUGUACGAGUGGGAUGGGUGUAAUCCACUCCCACCAGAAUUUUGGCUUUUCCCAUCCAUUUUCCCAUUCCAUCCUGCAAAAAUGUGGUGUUACUGUCGGACAACAUACAUGUCUAUGUCGUACUUGUAUGCAAAGAGAUAUCAUGGACCGUUAAAAGAUCUUGUUCUCUGUAUAAGAAAUGAAAUUCAUGUCAAAGCUUAUGAUCGGAUUGAUUGGAACAGUACUCGCAUGGAUUGUUGUAAGCAGGAGGACAUGUACUACCCCCAUAGUUUCAUACAAGAUCUCCUAUGGAACACCCUUCAAUAUUGUACUGAGCCAUUCAUGAGGUGUUGGCCUUUCAAGAAAAUUAGGGAAAUGGCUAUGAGAAAAGCAAUCAAGUAUAUGCGCUAUGAAGCAGAAGAGAGCAGAUACAUAAACAUUGGCUGCAUAAUAAAGAGUUUGCAAAUGAUGUGCUGGUGGGCAGAAGAUCCAAACUGCGAUGAGUUCAAAUACCAUCUUGCUAGAGUUCUUGAUUACUUAUGGCUUGCAGAAGAUGGAAUGACAAUGCAAACUUUUGGGAGUCAGAAUUGGGAUGCAGCUCAUGCCACCCAAGCUAUAAUUGCCAGUGGCAUGGUAGAAGAAUAUGGAGACUGCCUGAAAAACGCCCAUUUCUAUAUUAAAGAAUCACAAGUAAAAGGAAAUCCAAAAGGAGACUUCAAAAAUAUGUAUCGUCAUUUCACAAAAGGAUCAUGGACAUUCUCUGAUCAAGAUCAUGGUUGGGCUACCUCUGACGUCACAGCAGAAGCGCUUAAGUGCCUGCUAGUCCUUGGGGAAAUGCCACCCGAAAUUGUAGGAGAAAAGGCCGAUGUUCAGCACUUGUAUAAAGCUGUAGAUGUUUGCCUUUAUCUUCAAAGUCCCGAAAGUGGUGGUUUUGGUGCAUGGGAGCCUCCUAUUCCACAAGCAUACAUGCAACUAUUGAAUCCCUCUGAACUCUUUGCAGAUAUUGUCGUGGAGAAAGAGCACGUAGAACCUACUGGAUCUAUAAUCAGUGCUCUUGCCGCCUUCAGAAAUCAUUAUCCAAAUUAUAGAGCAAAAGAAGUUGAUAUCUCUAUUACAAAGGCAGUACAAUACAUUGAAAAACAGCAGUAACCAGAUGGGUCAUGGUAUGGAUACUGGGGAAUUUGCUUCCUCUAUGCCACUCGCUUUGCCCUAUUAGGGCUGGCAGCUGCAGGAAAGAAUUACGAGAAUUGCGAAGCCAUUCGCAAAGCUGCUCACUUCUACCUAGCAAAACAGAAUCAAGAGGGUGGCUGGGGAGAAUGUCUUGAAUCUUGCCCAACCAUGAAAUACAUACCAUUGGAAGGGGAUCGUACAAAUUUGGUUCAAACAUCAUGGGCAAUGCUAGGACUUAUGUACACUGGGCAGGCCGAGAGGGAUCCAACUCCUUUACACAAAGCUGCAAAGUUAUUGAUUAAUGCACAAAUGGAUAAUGGAGAUUUUCCUCAAGAAGAAAUUACUGGAGUCUUCAUGAAGAAUUGCAUGUUGCACUAUGCACUAUAUAGGAGUUAUUUUCCAUUGUUGGCACUGGCAGAAUAUCGCAAACGUGUAUGGACAUCAAAAAACUAC
This is an RNA transcript of Ipomoea nil (Japanese morning glory), 2307 nucleotides long. It is a transcript of the gene named dammarenediol II synthase-like, with no coding region annotated. The record is from RefSeq and is a predicted model, not a curated record. The transcript has 15 exons. NCBI's taxonomy places the organism in Eukaryota, Viridiplantae, Streptophyta, Magnoliopsida, Solanales, Convolvulaceae.